GACGAACGCUGGCGGCGUGCCUAAUACAUGCAAGUUGAGCGCUGAAGGUUGGUACUUGUACCAACUGGAUGAGCAGCGAACGGGUGAGUAAUGCGUGGGGAAUCUGCCUUUGAGCGGGGGACAACAUUUGGAAACGAAUGCUAAUACCGCAUAAAAACUUUAAACACAAGUUUUAAGUUUGAAAGAUGCAAUUGCAUCACUCAAAGAUGAUCCCGCGUUGUAUUAGCUAGUUGGUGAGGUAAAGGCUCACCAAGGCGAUGAUACAUAGCCGACCUGAGAGGGUGAUCGGCCACAUUGGGACUGAGACACGGCCCAAACUCCUACGGGAGGCAGCAGUAGGGAAUCUUCGGCAAUGGACGAAAGUCUGACCGAGCAAAGCCGCGUGAGUGAAGAAGGUUUUCGGAUCGUAAAACUCUGUUGGUAGAGAAGAACGUUGGUGAGAGUGGAAAGCUCAUCAAGUGACGGUAACUACCCAGAAAGAGAUGGCUAACUACGUG
This 497-nucleotide ribosomal RNA is filed under the name uncultured bacterium. RNAcentral describes it as "partial 16S ribosomal RNA". It matches the Rfam family "Bacterial small subunit ribosomal RNA", at positions 28 to 507 of the family's 1533-position model. The record is from RNAcentral.